UACGUAGGGGGCAAGCGUUGUCCGGAAUUAUUGGGCGUAAAGAGCGUGUAGGCGGUCCGGUAAGUCAGCUGUGAAAGUCAAGGGCUCAACCCUUGAAAGCCGGUUGAUACUGUCGGGCUAGAGUCCGGAAGAGGCGAGUGGAAUUCCCGGUGUAGCGGUGAAAUGCGCAGAUAUCGGGAGGAACACCUAUGGCGAAGGCAGCUCGCUGGGACGGUACUGACGCUGAGACGCGAAAGCGUGGGGAGCAAACAGG
This 253-nucleotide ribosomal RNA is filed under the name uncultured bacterium. RNAcentral's name for it is "partial 16S ribosomal RNA". It matches the Rfam family "Bacterial small subunit ribosomal RNA", at positions 524 to 776 of the family's 1533-position model. The record is from RNAcentral.